AACGAACGCUGGCGGCAUGCCUAACACAUGCAAGUCGAACGAACCCUUCGGGGUUAGUGGCGCACGGGUGCGUAACGCGUGGGAAUCUGCCCUUUGCUUCGGAAUAACUCAGGGAAACUUGUGCUAAUACCGGAUGAUGUCUUCGGACCAAAGAUUUAUCGGCAAGGGAUGAGCCCGCGUAGGAUUAGGUAGUUGGUGGGAUAAAGGCCUACCAAGCCGACGAUCCUUAGCUGGUCUGAGAGGAUGAUCAGCCACACUGGGACUGAGACACGGCCCAGACUCCUACGGGAGGCAGCAGUGGGGAAUAUUGGACAAUGGGCGCAAGCCUGAUCCAGCAAUGCCGCGUGAGUGAUGAAGGCCCUCGGGUCGUAAAGCUCUUUUACCAGGGAUGAUAAUGACAGUACCUGGAGAAUAAGCGCCGGCUAACUCCGUG
This 433-nucleotide ribosomal RNA is filed under the name uncultured bacterium. Its description in RNAcentral is "partial 16S ribosomal RNA". It matches the Rfam family "Bacterial small subunit ribosomal RNA", at positions 29 to 507 of the family's 1533-position model. The record is from RNAcentral.